UCAACCUAUCCACUAGCUUCAGUGGCAUUGUGCUGCUGGAAUGAAGGCUCAGUGUUCGGGUCGGCGGCAAAGCUAAGCCAAUGACUACUCGGCAGCACUGUGCUGGAGUUUCAGCAGUGGCGGUUCAAACCCGCAAUAGUCCGUAAAGGUGGGAUGCUUCUGCCAUGCAGGCUCAGAGUAGUUGUCCCGCUCUGAGUCUGGCUAAUUUACGGGCGAAAAACGGCUCCGUUGGCCUCUAAGUUUCCCUGAGCAGUUGUUGCUUGUACUGUCCGUGGCUGUGACGACGGGGAACGAUACGUGGUUUUCUUAAUCUCGAGAGUUAAUGAGCACUGGCUUUGGUGCCGCCAACAAAAAAACCUAUUUUACAAAUUUUUCAAGAGAAUAUUUUUAUUCUUAUCGGUGGAUCACUCGGCUCGUAGAUCGAUGAAGAACGCAGCCACCUGCGAUAAUUAUUGCGAACUGCAGAUAUUUUGAGCACUAAAGUUUUGAAURCACAUUGCGGCAUUGGAUUUUAUCCUUUGCCACGUCUGGCUCAGGGUCGUAAAUACUAAACACCAAACAAAAGGUGGUGAAACAAUCUGUGCGGACCGUUGUCGUUUGGUGUAACACUUGCUUCUUUGUGUUGCCUUUCGACCAAUAUUGACAACGCUCCCACCACAGCAAUUGUUGCUCACUGCGCGCGGUUACAUUUCCUUCGACAGUCCUAGCGAUUCCUAUGGACUAGGAGGUUUUGGAGCUGGCCAGUUUGCAGUCGUCGAUUUUUCGACCUGAACUCAGACGUGAUCACCCGC
RNAcentral lists this ribosomal RNA (791 nucleotides) under Ditylenchus africanus. RNAcentral describes it as "eukaryotic LSU rRNA". The stretch from base 389 to 541 matches the Rfam family "5.8S ribosomal RNA". Lineage: Eukaryota; Metazoa; Nematoda; Chromadorea; Rhabditida; Anguinidae. The record is from RNAcentral.